UGGGGAAUAUUGCGCAAUGGGCGAAAGCCUGACGCAGCGACGCCUCGUGAGGGAUGAAGGUCUUCGGAUCGUAAACCUCUGUCAAGGGGGAAGAAACCUCUGGAUUCGAAUAGGGUCUAGAGCUGACGGUACCUCUAAAGGAAGCACCGGCUAACUCCGUGCCAGCAGCCGCGGUAAUACGGAGGGUGCAAGCGUUAAUCGGAAUCACUGGGCGUAAAGCGCUCGUAGGCUGUUUGGUAAGUCAGACGUGAAAGCCCGCGGCUUAACCGCGGAACUGCGUUUGAUACUGCCAGACUUGAGUGUCGGAGAGGGUGGCGGAAUUCCGGGUGUAGGAGUGAAAUCCGUAGAUAUCCGGAGGAACACCAGUGGCGAAGGCGGCCACCUGGACGACAACUGACGCUGAGGAGCGAAAGCGUGGGUAGCAAACA
This 428-nucleotide ribosomal RNA is filed under the name uncultured bacterium. RNAcentral describes it as "bacterial SSU rRNA". It matches the Rfam family "Bacterial small subunit ribosomal RNA", at positions 355 to 774 of the family's 1533-position model. The record is from RNAcentral.